UUGGAUAAUGAAAAAAAUAUUAUUCUUCGUUUCCACUACAGAUGCAAGAAAAACAUGUCCUUGUGCUUUCCAUCUGUCUAAUUGUGGCAGCUGAGAUUGAAUAGAGGAAUACAGGG
RNAcentral lists this small nucleolar RNA (116 nucleotides) under Aotus nancymaae (Ma's night monkey). RNAcentral describes it as "Small nucleolar RNA SNORA31 (ENSANAG00000004796.1)". The record is from RNAcentral. Lineage: Eukaryota; Metazoa; Chordata; Mammalia; Primates; Aotidae.